GCGGUGGUAGCUCAGCCUGGUAGAGCACUCGCCUGUCACGCGAGGGAUCGCCGGUUCAAAUCCGGUCCACCGCG
This 74-nucleotide transfer RNA is filed under the name bacterium. Its description in RNAcentral is "tRNA-Asp". It matches the Rfam family "tRNA". Rfam says of the family: Transfer RNA (tRNA) molecules are approximately 80 nucleotides in length. The record is from RNAcentral.